This is an RNA transcript of Loxodonta africana (African savanna elephant), 1706 nucleotides long. It is a transcript of the gene named calcyphosine like, with no coding region annotated. The transcript has 4 exons. The record is from RefSeq and is a predicted model, not a curated record. Lineage: Eukaryota; Metazoa; Chordata; Mammalia; Proboscidea; Elephantidae.
CUUCCCUCUGACAACCACUGGUGUUUUUACCAUCUCUAGAGUUUUGGAUCUUUCAGAAAGUCAUAUAAUUGGAAUUAUAUAGUGUGUGUGUGUGUUUUAAGGGUUGUUUCUUUUCAUGAGAGGCUGAGAAGAGGCGGUCUGUGUUGGAAGGAGAGUGAAGAGCAGAAUCUAGAAAAAAAAAAGAAUCUAAGACUUCUGUAUUUUAAUUUGAAAAGCCUUGAGAAUGGUUUUCUUUUUAACUCUUCACGCUUACACCUUGCUCUUCAUGUCUUUUAUUUAUUUAUUUUUUUGGUGCGUGUAUGUGUGUAUUUUCUUCAGAGUGUUUCGGAUUAUGGAUGAUAAUAACAACCGAACCCUUGAUUUCAAAGAAUUUGUAAAAGGCUUAAAUGAUUAUGCUGUGGUCAUGGAAAAGGAAGAGGCAGAAGAGCUUUUCAGGAGAUUUGAUAAGGAUGGAAACGGAACAAUAGACUUCAAUGAAUUUCUUGUCACAUUAAGACCUCCAAUGUCCAGAGCCCGAAAAGAGGUAAUUAUGCAAGCUUUUAGAAAGUUAGACAAGACUGGGGAUGGUGUUAUAACGAUUGAAGAUCUUCGUGAGGUGUAUAAUGCAAAACACCAUCCAAAGUACCAAAAUGGAGAAUGGUCAGAGGAACAAGUCUUCAGGAAAUUUCUGGAUAACUUCGACUCACCCUAUGACAAGGAUGGAUUGUUUAGAGCCAUAUGUUGAAGAUGGUAGAGCCACAGGAUGGACAGAGCCCUGAAUAUUGUUUGGAGGAGCACCACCCACAGGUUCAGGAGAUGCUGCCACUGGACCCACAUCAGUAAAGGAGAAGGUCUACAAAGGCCAGUGAAGAGAACAUGAAAUAAGACUGAAGUCUUGGCAACAGCAGAGGCAUUUAGAAACACCAAGUUCAUCACACACUUUCCAUGCAGUGGAAUAAUAGUGCCUACCACAAACUAGCUAAACAAAGUUUAAAAGACAAUAUGCUAGUUUCACUGGAAAUCACAUGAUGAAAUCCUAGAUCAAGUUUGCUCAUGGUCUAUAAGAGGCCUCAGUGUGAGGUGUAUCCUAUUCAUCUCUAUACCUCCUUGGGCUUACCAUACUGCCAGGUCCAUCACAGUCCUCAGUCAGUCAGCGCUGGAAUAAGUUAGUGUAGACUUAUAAGCAUAAAUGUAGCUUUUUAAUAGUAUUUGCUUUUGAAAAUUGAAUACAGUUGAAAGAUAAUGGCAAGUUAAUAUCUCAAGCUUGAUUGAUUCUAAGAGUUUCAGGAACAUUGCUUUGUAUAUUGGUGGGUAUUUUAACCCAAUUAGACAUUUAGAAGGCAAAACAGAAAACAAACUUGAAUAUAGAAAAUCAGGUUGAGAUUUCCAUUGCUGCUCUUUGAAACCUGGGCAACAGCCAUGAACUCAGGCAUUUACAUUUUGCAUUGGGUAAAGAGUAAAUUCCAUCAGAAGUAAUUUAUUAUGCGUCAAAAACUUGAAAAAUAUUCAUACCAUUUGACUCAGUAAUUAUAGAGCUAAGAAUCCUAAAGAAAUAAUUCAUAUCCACAAAUAUUUUUACAUAUGGGUGUUCAUUCCGUAUUAUUUACAGCAAAAAUAGAAAACCUACAUUUCCAAACAAGGACAAUGGGGACACAAAUUAUACUACAUUUGUGACAGAAUACUAUGCAGCCAUGAAAACUAUGAUUUAAACGAAUAGCCUUUUUUUU